AUGUUCACUUUGGCAACAUGGAUACUAAAAUUGGAACGCUACAGAGAAGAUUCGCUCAGCCCCUGUGCAAGGAUGACGUGUAAAUUCGUGAAGCAUUCUGUAUUUUU
Small nuclear RNA from Phyllostomus hastatus (greater spear-nosed bat), 107 nucleotides. Lineage: Eukaryota; Metazoa; Chordata; Mammalia; Chiroptera; Phyllostomidae. The record is from RefSeq and is a predicted model, not a curated record.